This 179-nucleotide non-coding RNA is filed under the name uncultured Erwinia sp. RNAcentral's name for it is "6S / SsrS RNA". It matches the Rfam family "6S / SsrS RNA". Rfam says of the family: E. coli 6S RNA was the first non coding RNA to be sequenced, but its function was unknown until recently. It consists of 184 nucleotides that fold into an extended hairpin structure with a large single-stranded internal bulge. The record is from RNAcentral. Lineage: Bacteria; Pseudomonadati; Pseudomonadota; Gammaproteobacteria; Enterobacterales; Erwiniaceae.
UUCUCUGAGAUGUUUGCCAGCGGGCCAGUCCCCUGAGCCGAUAUUUAGUACCAAAAAGAGUGUGGCGCUCUUAACCUGUGCGCAUGCCCGGCCUGUCCGGGAAGCCUGAUGGUUAUGACGGUAUGCUCACCUUGAACCAAGGGUUCAAGGGUUACAGCCUGCGACGGCAUCUCGGAGAU